This is a non-coding RNA of Lactuca sativa (garden lettuce), 1402 nucleotides long. Lineage: Eukaryota; Viridiplantae; Streptophyta; Magnoliopsida; Asterales; Asteraceae. The record is from RefSeq and is a predicted model, not a curated record.
CCAAAAAACAACGCGGGUCCCAGAAUUUUGAUUAUCUCUCAAAACUUUAAAUAUACCAAAAUGUUUAGGGCAAAAUUGAUAGCUAAAGCUCGUCCACCAUUCUCCAUCUUCCGCCAUUCUCCUUCGUCGCUCACCCCCGUCACCUUCACCCACUUAUUGCCAACACUUGUCAUCGCUCCAUCACCAUCGGUCCCUCGUCGCGGUUGUCACCUCCAACACCGACGAUUGUGUUAAAAGAAGCCACAACAGGAAUUGGGAUACGCUGGUGACCACCUUUCAACGAAAUCAUUUGUUUUCCUGUCUCAUCUAUGUUUAGCUUCCUUCAUUUCUCGCGAUCCUUAUGGUAUAUUUGGAGGUAUGGUUAGAUUUGUUCACAUAUUACCUGAUUGGGAUUAUUAACUGUAAUUGUUGAUAGGGUUUUAACGAAAUCGAGAAUUAGGUAAAUCAAACAUGGAUUAUAUAUUGGCGUUUGACUAAUCUGUGUGUAUAUGUGUCGACUUUUGACUAAUUUGGGUGAAUAUGUGCAUUUGGUUGUUUUCCAUGUUUUUUGAACUUGAAACUUUAGGAAUUCAAUUGUUUUUUCAAACGAAGGUAACAUUGGUAGACUGCAAAAGAGAUCAAUUUUCACUAAUUUAUCCCUUUCUUCUCAGUUUGAAACUCAAUUUGUAUGUUAUGGGACAUGAACUAGCGCAAUUGGAUUGGGUUGGUUUGUAUGCCUUUGAAUCGAGGAAACAUGGUCUGUGGAUUCACGUUUUUUGGUUUGCUGGAGCUCCGAUUUAGAAGGAGAGACAUAAAGUUUUCAAUUGUACGAGAUGGAGAAGCUAGAAGAACAAGAUAAAAGGUCUAUUCAAGUAGCAACUUCAUGCAACACAGGUAUCAAUUCAAAGACUGAUGGGAUCUUUCCAUAGAUUCGUGGUUCAGUGAGAUAGACAAGCAAAUUCACUUUGAUAACAUGGUUAAUAUUUUGGCAUCUAGGUAUAAAUGUGCAAAGAAAAUAAGCUUCGACUGAAGCUUUUAUAGGUACGACUCAUAUUCAAUUCUUGCUAAUCUUUAUGGAUGGGGUGGUGGUGGUAUCCAUAAUGGGUUUUAAUUUAUGCAUAAGGCAUUAGUUUUGUUUGUUAUUUAUGUGCUUUAUGAACAAUGACUAAUAAAUUUGACUCAUCAUUGAAGAUGAUAUAAUGGAACAUGUUUCACCUUUUCAACGGCUACCCAAUUCACAAGGAAUGUACAAUUAUAUAUUGUAGAAUUUGGAUGAAGUUUCAACAAAACCAGCAUAGUAGGAUGCAAAAGAAGCACAAUAGGUUAUUUAGAAUUGUUGAAAACAUUUGUAUUUUAAAUUUUGAGAAUAUUGUUGUUAAACAAGUUACAUUUUAAUUUAAGUAAUUAUAUUGUAUUUUUUUCA